This 264-nucleotide long non-coding RNA is filed under the name Nicotiana benthamiana. Its description in RNAcentral is "long non-coding RNA (NBEN_LNC003061)". Lineage: Eukaryota; Viridiplantae; Streptophyta; Magnoliopsida; Solanales; Solanaceae. The record is from RNAcentral.
UGAUUGUUUCACUGCCAAGUUUGUUGAAUUUCAGAUUAGAUUGUGGAUCACCUGAGAUGGAAAUCCAGUUAGGGUUUUUGACCCACAAAAAAAUAAAAGAAAAUCUUGUAGGCUCCGAUGGGGCGGGUGGGGGGAUGCGGUGUAUCCAGGAAAAGGGGGUUGUGUGGGUAGGGAGAAGUGAACGCGGAAGGCAAUAGAAAGAGGAAGAGACUAUAUCCUCUUGCAAAUUCUUACAAAAUACAGGGUGUGUUUGGCAGGUAGAAA